GGCGCUGCAUCUGGCGAUUGCGACGCUUCUCAAUGCCGGCGAUCACAUCGUGGCGUCCGCCUCGCUCUAUGGCGGAACGAUCAAUCUUCUCACGCAUACGCUGCCGCGCUUCGGCAUCACCACGACCUUCGUCAAGCCGCGCGAUCUUGACGGCAUCCGCGCCGCGAUCAAGCCAAACACCAAGCUCGUGAUCGGCGAGACCAUCGGCAAUCCCGGUCUUGAAGUGCUCGACAUUCCCGCUGUCGCGAAGGUC
RNAcentral lists this unclassified non-coding RNA (253 nucleotides) under Hevea brasiliensis (rubber tree). Lineage: Eukaryota; Viridiplantae; Streptophyta; Magnoliopsida; Malpighiales; Euphorbiaceae. The record is from RNAcentral.